Molecule: transfer RNA, 77 nt
Filed under: Caudoviricetes sp.
Lineage: Duplodnaviria; Heunggongvirae; Uroviricota; Caudoviricetes
Description: tRNA-Thr
Rfam family: tRNA
About the family: Transfer RNA (tRNA) molecules are approximately 80 nucleotides in length. Their secondary structure includes four short double-helical elements and three loops (D, anti-codon, and T loops). Further hydrogen bonds mediate the characteristic L-shaped molecular structure. tRNAs have two regions of fundamental functional importance: the anti-codon, which is responsible for specific mRNA codon recognition, and the 3' end, to which the tRNAs corresponding amino acid is attached (by aminoacyl-tRNA synthetases). tRNAs cope with the degeneracy of the genetic code in two manners: having more than one tRNA (with a specific anti-codon) for a particular amino acid; and 'wobble' base-pairing, i.e. permitting non-standard base-pairing at the 3rd anti-codon position.
Source: RNAcentral
GCCUACGUAGCUCAGCGGUAGUUAGCACUUCCUUGGUAAGGAAGAGGUCGUAAGUUCGAAUCUUAUCGUAGGCUCCA